Molecule: non-coding RNA, 150 nt
Organism: Caenorhabditis elegans
Lineage: Eukaryota; Metazoa; Nematoda; Chromadorea; Rhabditida; Rhabditidae
Source: Ensembl
GAUUGAGGCUUUUUUGAAACCUGCCUGCCUAACAACGGCCUCUCGCCUGUUUUCUGCACCUUGUCGUGAACAAAUUUCUGAAAGUUCACGAGUGCUUCAGCAGAAAUCGUGAGAAAGGCGCAAGGCAGGCGUUUAUGAAAGCCCUAAGUU